GGGGGAAGUAUUGCACAAUGGGCGAAAGCCUGAUGCAGCAACGCCGCGUGAAGGAAGAAGGCCUUUGGGUCGUAAACUUCUGUCCUUGGGGAAGAUAAUGACGGUACCCUUGGAGGAAGCCCCGGCUAACUACGUGCCAGCAGCCGCGGUAAUACGUAGGGGGCAAGCGUUGUCCGGAAUUAUUGGGCGUAAAGAGUACGUAGGCGGUCUGGUAAGCGCAAGGUGAAAGGCAUAGGCUCAACCAAUGUCAGCCUUGCGAACUGUCAGACUUGAGUGCAGGAGGGGAAAGUGGAAUUCCUAGUGUAGCGGUGAAAUGCGUAGAUAUUAGGAGGAACACCAGUGGCGAAGGCGACUUUCUGGACUGUAACUGACGCUGAGGUACGAAAGCGUGGGGAGCAAACAGGAUUAGAUACCCUGGUAGU
Molecule: ribosomal RNA, 422 nt
Filed under: uncultured Anaerovorax sp.
Lineage: Bacteria; Bacillati; Bacillota; Clostridia; Peptostreptococcales; Anaerovoracaceae
Description: bacterial SSU rRNA
Rfam family: Bacterial small subunit ribosomal RNA
Source: RNAcentral